UACGGAGGAUGCAAGCGUUAUCCGGAUUCACUGGGUUUAAAGGGUGCGUAGGCGGGGUGGUAAGUCAGUGGUGAAAGCCUACAGCUCAACUGUAGAACUGCCAUUGAUACUAUCAUUCUUGAGUAUGGUUGAGGUGGGCGGAAUGUGUAAUGUAGCGGUGAAAUGCUUAGAUAUUACACAGAACACCGAUUGCGAAGGCAGCUCACUAAGCCAUUACUGACGCUCAGGCACGAAAGCGUGGGGAUCAAACAGGAUUAGAUACCCUGGUAGUCCACGCCGUAAACGAUGAUCACUCGCUGUUGGCGAUAUACUGUUCAGCGGCUAAGCGAAAGCAUUAAGUGAUCCACCUGGGGAGUACGAUCGCAAGAUUGAA
RNAcentral lists this ribosomal RNA (373 nucleotides) under uncultured bacterium. Its description in RNAcentral is "bacterial SSU rRNA". It matches the Rfam family "Bacterial small subunit ribosomal RNA", at positions 524 to 898 of the family's 1533-position model. The record is from RNAcentral.